GGAAAUGUACAAGAUAUAUGGUUACUGCAGAUGCCAUAAAGCACAGUACAUGCUACAAGGAUCAAAGAUUAACUAGCUGAUAUGAUCCAGUUUCCAAUUACAGCAGUAACAACUCCUCUUUAUACGAGCUAUUCGGAUGCUUACUGGGGUGAUUUAGAGGUCAAAACUGUGGCUGUUGAAAUGGAAAAUAGCCUGAUGGCCUCUUCUUUGCAAGUUUUGCCUUCUGCACUCUUUAGCAACACUGGACUGAAGAGUAGGAGGACCACAUACUAUCACACCAAUAUCUACACUUCCCCAACUCUUUGCAAGUGGUCCAAAUAUCUCUGCAGAAAAAGAAGUUAAAACACACUGUCAAGAAAACUAAGGGAAAGUAGACCUUGCAAAGUUCAUAUGCUUCUCUGAACAUACCUUGGAAAUCUGGUCUUUCACCAUAUCGAAUAGUAUUAACAGAUCGAGCUUCUUCAAGAUUCUUGUGUAAAGAGGCCUCAAUAUUCUGCUGCAGGUUGUCGACCUUCUUUGUGCUAUCCUCUGGUUCCUCCUUCAAUGAGGUUUUCCUUUCCCAAAGAUGCCAUAAAGCGAUCACGAGACCCCCAAAUAUAACAACACUUGCAGCCAUGCAUCCAAUCAACAAAAGCCCCUUGUACCACCAGUAAGUUACAUUGUAUGGAUUUAUGUACAAGAUGUCUAAUAAUGCUACAGUGACCACCAACCCAAUUGUGGAUACUAUGACAUACAAUCCAGACCAUACAACAUUUCCAGUACCAAUCAAACUAGACAUUCGACAUCCACUGAAGCCAGGGGAGAUUGAGGUGUGCAUUGCUUUCGGUCUUUUGCCCUCCUCCUGAGCCGAAAAGAAGUAAACAUUACACACAAUAUAAAAUGGAGUGAUGUUACAUAAACAAAAUGAGAAUACGAAGAACCAAAUACCAAUGAAGGUUGUGAUUCCCGAGUCACAAAUGUUUGAAUCUCAAGAUUCAGUUUAUCAGAAUAAAGUGGACAGAUUGCCUCCAUGGCAAUUGUCUCAAGAAGUGGGAGCUCAUCUGAGUUUUUUAUAGCCCAUACUAUUAGUAUAUUUCUUGGAAGGCAAGGCCUGCUAUUGUUGAUACGGUGGAGGAUAUCACUCAGGAUAGCUAGGAAAGGAGAUAUUCCAAUUCCACCUGCUACCAAAAUGAGAUUUUCAUACCUGGGGGGAGAAACAUGGUUAACACAAUUGAUUAGCCAAUGAAUUGGUACUGAAACAAAAGAAUUGUAUACUCAGUAGAUAAUGCUGGACUUGACAUACGUCAAAUGAUAUGGUGAUUCAUGCCCAUAAGGACCUUCGACAGAAGCUGUUAAUAUCCUGUUAUGCUGCAAAAGGGGCUCCAUUUCAUGUUGUUCGACAGAAAGAUUCAAGAUAUGCCCCUUCAGUUUUUCGGUCCAAUCUCCAAGAACCUUUAUGAGAAUAGCAAGAUGAUGUUUCCCAUCAAGGGGACUGGAGGAGACACUGAAAGGGUGCCACUGCAGCCAGGACAACUCGCGUAUUUGUAAGAACAUCCAGCCAAGGGCGUUGUAAUGUAAAUCUACAUCGCGAGGGAAGAAAUAUUAGAAUCACUGAAAAAUGAAGUGGUGAGGAAAUCAGUAGAGUUCAAAGAUUUAAUCUUUUACUUGCAGGUUUUGAAAGAACGAGUUCAAUUGUUCCACAAGGAAAGCAUGUGGCUGAAAGAAUGUCAACAGUCUUUCGUGACUGGAAGAACCUAAGGAACCGAUCAAGCAUGAAAAGGAAGAUCCCGGCACCAGCCAUCAUGAAGAUGAAGUCACCAACAUGCAAGGCCAGGAACACCACGAACACCACAUAUAAUUGGUGCGUAUAGAAGAACAAUUCAAAGUUGUUCCUCCUUACUCCUGGAAGUGAAGUCACCCACAUCAAUAAACCAGCUGCAAGGCUGAUAACUCCUGGAAGAUGGGCUACUCCUACGUUUUUCCACUGGAUUAGCUGCAUUAAACACAAUGGCAGAGUUCAAGUCUUAUGUUUUCUUUACCAAGAAAACACAGAAAGAUGCAUUACAUGUGAUGAAGGGCUAGGCAAAUGAAUUUUCAGUUUUAGAACUCACUUCCUCCACAAGGCACCCGCGCAUUGCCCAGCCAAUCACAUAGAAUAGACCGUGAAGGCUAAAAAGAGCCAUAGUAGUAUGUCCCAGCCAAACAUGAUAUCGAGUGGCAUGCUCAAAUGGGAUAUCUAUAGCUCGAAGAAGAACUGAACCCCGUGCAACAGGUAUAAACAAAAAUGCUAAGCAGGUUAAUCCAAUGAAUCCAAAACGACGGCCUGUUAGCUCCAGCAACAUAGCGCUGAAGAGAUUACAACAGAGGAUAUUAGUCAAUGACGCAGAGCCUGUAAUUAGAAAAAGAGGACCUUGGAUAUAGUUAUUAUUCCAGCAGGCCGAGUCUAAAUUCUGUUUGAAGAAUAAACAUGAAAUCUUUAAUACAGUCAACUCAUGUUUAGCUCAAGCUUCAGUAAAUUGGGGUUAUCAAUCUUUCAGGAAGAAUAUUCAGUAGUUUUACUUUUAGAAUUCUACUGCCAUUGCACAUCUCUGGAGAACUAACUGCUACUUUAUAUAAAAGAAGAUAACAUAAGAACAAACUUGAAGGACCAAAACUUGAACCAAGGAUAUAAUGGAUUGAAACCUUUCCAAAUGUAGAGCAGUUGAGAGCCAGAAGAGUUUAAAACAAAUAAUUUUAGAACAAGAAUAUCAUGUAGUCCUUUCGGAAAACGAAUAAUGGUUUGUAUAGCUGAGUCAUACAUGUAUAUAUGAAAGGAUUAAAGGUAACUAGUUCGCUGAAAGGAUGAUAGUUUAGGCAAGCUGAAACAGCACGGUCCAAACUAUAGACAGCAAUUAAUAGGCCUAAGUCUGUUGAGUUAAAUAUUGCAUGAUCUUGAACAUGGUGAAUUUUAUUGCCAUUGGGAAACAACUACUUUCUCUUCAAAUACAUACAAAAUAUAGCAAGAAAUCAGUGAAACCCGAACAAGAAAGUAACGUGAUCAUGGUGACAGAAUUACCUUUUCUCUUUCAUGUCUUGUACAUGAAGCGAGGAUAAGCGGUCAACACUCCGUAUACUGUACAUAAUAACAGCCCAGAUGAUGUACACUGAGAAGAGUGUAACUCCAAUCAUUUCUGCAGCUGUAACAACCCCAAAUGGUCCAUCCACCAGCACUGGGAAUGUCCAUAAGCGAAAACUUGGACAUUUUGCAGUUUUCUUCCUACAACAAUUUAAAAUUCAGGUAACUACACAAGUUCAUAACAUCCACUAACUUCUAACGGAGUUCCUUUGAACUAAGAAAUCAAGCUAGCAGAUGCACAUACACUUGGGGUUCAUCUUUACCAGAGAGAACGAGGCGAAUAACUGCAAGAAAUGCAAUCAUGAAAAUUGGGAAACUGAAUAUCAAGAAUUUGCUUCCUGCAGUUCAACAGAAACUGAGAUUACUUUCUAACAAAGUGGAAAAACAAAUACAGUAUAAAAGCAAGAAAUUUUCCAUGUUGGCAACAAACCUGUUUUCCCAAAGAUAGUUCCUUGGGUAUCUCGAAUCAAUUUCUUUUGCAAUUCAUUCAUGUAUGCUGAAGGCAAUAAGAAAAGAAAAGUAGCCCAUGCAAUGAAGAUCAUCCACAUUAAUACAUUGAGAAUCAACUUUGUUGAUGAUACCCAAAAGGGUGUCUUAUUGAGAUAGUUAAAAUCAUUUUCUUUCUUCAAAAGAAGAGGUUCUUGGCCUGAGAAUUCACUCAUUACAGAAUCUUUAAAGUUUGGCAACAAUUAGUACACUCUCCAGGCCUAUUCUUGUACUUUAUUUGGCCUAUAUCAAGCAUCCCCAGUAAAGUAGUUAAUAUAUACAAGAAAGCUUCAGUAUAAACCAAAUCCAUCAACAUUCAUAGGUCAUGUACAGAAUUAAGCAGAAAUUUGGCUGAAAUGAAGCCACAAAAAAUCGGACCACUCAACAAUUAAUUCCUCCCCCCACCCCCGACAGUUACAGUAUAUGUCUGUCUCAUUGUUAAUAUACUAGGAAAGCUCAGUUUAUAUUAUUCGGUAAAGGGUAGACAAUCACGAGCCGAGAGUCUAUCAGAAACAGUCUCUCUACCUGUCACAGGUAGUGAUAAGCUACACAUUAACGUCUCCAAACUCCAUUUGUGGGUUCCCACUGGGUUAUUGUUGUUGUUGGAAGGGGUAGACAAAUACAUGGUUCUUCUUAAAACUGAGAAAUAUGAUGUUACAUGAUAUAGUAGUAGAUUUAUAGUUCUACUGACAAGUUAAUACAUUUUUGCUACAAGAAUGAUGGCCACAGCUUCUUGAGCUUGAAUUAUUUAUCGGAAAACUAUGCUGCGCUUUUGCUGACUUGCAAAAUUACAAAGUACUAUUGUAAUUUUACGUGUUGAUAAGAACAAAUAAGAGAGGGAGUCUUCAUUUUUACUGUUCUACACAUAUUAGAAAUUUACACAUUAUAAAUAACGCUUACAUUGUUACGUUUCAUGUGAUCUAUUAUGUUCAUUCUCAACAAUGCCGAAACUUUAUUGCUGAAGAAAGAAAGUCAAGAAUUUUUAAAAGAACAUUUGACUAGACUGAUAAUAAACAAAAAAAAACAUUUUUAGGUGUAGUGUUGCGGUCUAAAGACUUCCACGUUCACUCCCAAAAUAACUUUUCCGCUUCGCUUUCUUUGUUUCACGAUGAGUACAAAGACCCACAAAUAUUAAUUAAGAGACUCGCACUCUCAUUUAUUUCCUAUCUAUUUUAUGAAAAAUUCUUAAAAAGAAAAUUCAAAUUCGCGGACCAGUAGCUUUUGUUUGACGUAGACUAGAGUCACUAGACAGCUGUUCGAGAUUCUUUUUUGUGCUAUCAAAUUUCGAGGCUAAUGAUAUUAAUUAUCCCAAGCGUCAUUUUUGUAAGUUGAAAGACUCGUUUAAGGUCCAAAACUUUACAACUUGUUUCGAUGGUUGUUAUGUAUCGUCUAAUAUUGUAUCGUAUUGUUUUGAUGUAUAUAAUGUUUGGAAAUAUUGUAUUGUUUGUCGUCGUUUCAUGAUGUCAUGUACCAACAAUAUGAAAAAUAAACUUGUAUAGUCAGACCUCUGUAUAAUUGUAUCCUUAUAUAACAAUACUUCACUAUAAAAGCCAAGUUUUUCCGAAACCAAAUUUCAUGUUCUAUUAUAAUAUAUGUUUUCUAUAACAAUAAUUCACUAUAACAUCCAAAAAUAUCUGGAACAAACGAGAUUGUCACAGAGAGGUUUGACUGUAAUAUUAUAAAAAAAAAGUAAGGCACGAAAUAAUAUUAUUAUAUAUAAGCUUGUUUAGCGUGCAUCUUUCAUCUUCUCCACUUUUUUUUAAAAAAAAAAACUCCGGGACACUUCUACGUGUGAAACACCAAUGCAGUUUCUACAAAAUUUAAUUAGUAGCCUGGAAAAAGGCCAUUUGUGCAAAUGACCCCCUUAUCUGUGCAGUCAUGAUAAAGGUCAAGUUGUUAAAGUAAAAAUGAGCCUUUACAAAGAGCAACAUCCUUUUAGAGUAGAGUCGUUGGAAAAUAAAAAUCGAAGCAAAUUAGAUACAACUUACAAGACACUAUGACACUGGUAUGGAAUUCAGAAACUCUCAUUGAUAACAGGCUGCAGGUUUAUGUAGUUACUAGCCGUAUAGGUGAUACUGUUAUAUACUAUAUUGUUAAAGCUGCAUUUACAACGACUGAAAAUGUACAAGAAGCUUACUACAGAUACCAUAAAGCACAGUACAUGCUACAAGGAUCAAAGAUUAACUAGCUGAUAUGAUCCAGUUUCCAAUUACAGCAGUAACAACUCCUCUUUAUACGAGCUAUUCGGAUGCUUACUGGGGUGAUUUAGAGGUCAAAACUGUGGCUGUUGAAAUGGAAAAUAGCCUGAUGGCCUCUUCUUUGCAAGUUUUGCCUUCUGCACUCUUUAGCAACACUGGACUGAAGAGUAGGAGGACCACAUACUAUCACACCAAUAUCUACACUUCCCCAACUCUUUGCAUGUGAUCCAAAUAUCUCUGCAGAAAAAGAAGUUAAAACACACUGUCAAGAAAACUAAGGGAAAGUAGACCUUGCAAAGUUCAUAUGUUGCUCUGAACGUAC
Molecule: long non-coding RNA, 6100 nt
Filed under: Nicotiana tabacum (common tobacco)
Lineage: Eukaryota; Viridiplantae; Streptophyta; Magnoliopsida; Solanales; Solanaceae
Description: long non-coding RNA (NTAB_LNC014874)
Source: RNAcentral